GUCACAGUAUUAACUCCGUCAUGCAGCGAAAAAUUAAUGCAUUAUUAUUCUAUGACUUUUCAAAGAAGAAUAAAGUAAAAUUAUGAGAUGAAUCUAAAUUUAGAAGUUUGGAAGACAACAAGCUGCUAGCAACCCAGCUGCAACAUAACAAAUGGAAAAUCAUUCACCAAAGGCACUAAACAGCUCAGUGGAGACUUUUU
This is a non-coding RNA of Plectropomus leopardus (leopard coralgrouper), 200 nucleotides long. NCBI's taxonomy places the organism in Eukaryota, Metazoa, Chordata, Actinopteri, Perciformes, Serranidae. The record is from RefSeq and is a predicted model, not a curated record.